This 57-nucleotide small RNA is filed under the name Crocosphaera watsonii WH 8501. RNAcentral's name for it is "Cyano-1 RNA". It matches the Rfam family "Cyano-1 RNA". Lineage: Bacteria; Bacillati; Cyanobacteriota; Cyanophyceae; Chroococcales; Aphanothecaceae. The record is from Rfam by way of RNAcentral.
GAGUAUGUAAGAAAGCACUUGGGGUCGAAACACGGCAAGACUCCCAGGUGCUUGUCU